This 564-nucleotide long non-coding RNA is filed under the name Mus musculus (house mouse). RNAcentral describes it as "predicted gene 45659". Lineage: Eukaryota; Metazoa; Chordata; Mammalia; Rodentia; Muridae. The record is from RNAcentral.
GCCUGCUUGCUGCGUGAGACUGAGUAACUGCUAGAUCCUUGGACUUCCAUUCACAGCUGCGACUGAACAAUUGUUGGGAAUUCGGCUGCCGACUCUCUCUGCUCAGAAGAGAUGCUAAUGACUCUCAAGAAUCAUUGGCUCAGGAGACCUGCUCAACCAGAGUGCUUAAAGGAAAUGUUCUCUGUAAGUAAAAAUAGGAGGAAUAAGAUGAGCAUUAAAAAUUGUCCUGGAGAAAGAAAAGAACUUAAUGAAGACUGGUCCGAAAUGUAAAAGUAGUGAGGUGGAGCCUGGGACAUGCACAGAGGUCAGGAGCCACGUGGCUUCGAGGGAUCCUCUGUCUUCUCAUCAUACUGUUGACCUGCUAGUUUGAAUGACUGCAUCACUUGAAGGUUUCCUGAAACAGACAGUUCAGGCAAAACAACCUGUUCCACAAUAUCUUGGUAAGGAUCCCACCCAUGUCUUAAGACGCAUGCUUUAAGCUAGAAUAAAACCCUCAGGGACAUUUGGACAUCACUUGGAAACCAGCCUAGCAGGAGGGAGUAGAUUUGUAUAUUUUUGCUUGGC